AAUUUCUAUAUGCUUUUCGUAUAAUUCCGGGAAUUGGCCCGGAAGUUUCUACGAGGUCACCGUAAAUGAUCUGGCUACGGAAAGAA
This 86-nucleotide non-coding RNA is filed under the name uncultured Paenibacillus sp. RNAcentral describes it as "Purine riboswitch". It matches the Rfam family "Purine riboswitch aptamer", at positions 5 to 91 of the family's 102-position model. From Rfam's summary of the family: Riboswitches are metabolite binding domains within certain messenger RNAs that serve as precision sensors for their corresponding targets. Allosteric rearrangement of mRNA structure is mediated by ligand binding, and this results in modulation of gene expression. A class of riboswitches that selectively recognises guanine and becomes saturated at concentrations as low as 5 nM. Lineage: Bacteria; Bacillati; Bacillota; Bacilli; Caryophanales; Paenibacillaceae. The record is from RNAcentral.